CGCUGGCGGCGCGUCUUAAGCAUGCAAGUCGAACGGCAAGAUUGGUGCUUGCACCGAUCCUAGAGUGGCGGACUGGUGAGUAACGCGUGGGUGACGUACCCUAAGGAUGGGGAUAGCUGGUAGAAAUAUCAGAUAAUACCGAAUAUCCUUAUUGUUGUUAGAGGACAGUAAGGAAAGGAGCUUUGGCUUCGCCUAAGGAUCGGCCCGCGUACUAUUAGCUAGUUGGUGAGGUAACGGCUCACCAAGGCGACGAUCAGUAGCCGGCUUGGGAGAGUGAACGGCCACAUUGGAACUGAGACACGGUCCAAACUCCUACGGGAGGCAGCAGUGGGGAAUAUUGCACAAUGGGGGAAACCCUGAUGCAGCGACGCCGCGUGAAGGAUGAAGUAUUUCGGUAUGUAAACUUCUAUCAGCAGGGAAGAUAAUGACGGUACCUGACUAAGAAGCCCCGGCUAACUACGUG
This 463-nucleotide ribosomal RNA is filed under the name uncultured bacterium. Its description in RNAcentral is "bacterial SSU rRNA". It matches the Rfam family "Bacterial small subunit ribosomal RNA", at positions 34 to 507 of the family's 1533-position model. The record is from RNAcentral.